CCUACGGGUGGCAGCAGUGGGGAAUAUUGGACAAUGGGGGCAACCCUGAUCCAGCCAUGCCGCGUGUGUGAAGAAGGCCCUCGGGUUGUAAAGCACUUUCAGUGAGGAAGAACGCCUGGUGGUUAAUACCCAUCAGGAAAGACAUCACUCACAGAAGAAGCACCGGCUAACUCCGUGCCAGCAGCCGCGGUAAUACGGAGGGUGCGAGCGUUAAUCGGAAUUACUGGGCGUAAAGCGCGCGUAGGUGGCUUGAUAAGCCGGUUGUGAAAGCCCCGGGCUCAACCUGGGAACGGCAUCCGGAACUGUCAAGCUAGAGUGCAGGAGAGGAAGGUAGAAUUCCCGGUGUAGCGGUGAAAUGCGUAGAGAUCGGGAGGAAUACCAGUAGCGAAGGCGGCCUUCUGGACUGACACUGACACUGAGGUGCGAAAGCGUGGGUAGCAAACAGGAUUAGAUACCCUGGUAGUC
This 465-nucleotide ribosomal RNA is filed under the name Vreelandella stevensii. RNAcentral describes it as "partial 16S ribosomal RNA". It matches the Rfam family "Bacterial small subunit ribosomal RNA", at positions 338 to 795 of the family's 1533-position model. Lineage: Bacteria; Pseudomonadati; Pseudomonadota; Gammaproteobacteria; Oceanospirillales; Halomonadaceae. The record is from RNAcentral.